UACGUAGGUGGCAAGCGUUAUCCGGAUUUAUUGGGCGUAAAGAGAACGCAGGCGGUCUUUUAAGUCUGAUGUGAAAGCCUUCGGCUUAACCGGAGUAGUGCAUUGGAAACUGGGAGACUUGAGUGCAGAAGAGGAGAGUGGAACUCCAUGUGUAGCGGUGAAAUGCGUAGAUAUAUGGAAGAACACCAGUGGCGAAAGCGGCUCUCUGGUCUGUAGCUGACGCUGAGGUUCGAAAGCGUGGGUAGCAAACAGG
Molecule: ribosomal RNA, 253 nt
Filed under: uncultured bacterium
Lineage: Bacteria
Description: partial 16S ribosomal RNA
Rfam family: Bacterial small subunit ribosomal RNA
Source: RNAcentral